GUGCUCACUUCAGCAGCACAUGUGCUAAAAUUGGAACGAUACAGAGAUGAUUAGCAUGGCCCCUGCACAAGGAUGACAUGCAAAUUCAUGAAGUGUUCCAUAUUUUU
This is a small nuclear RNA of Heterocephalus glaber (naked mole-rat), 107 nucleotides long. The record is from Ensembl. NCBI's taxonomy places the organism in Eukaryota, Metazoa, Chordata, Mammalia, Rodentia, Bathyergidae.